CAGUGAUUGAGCACCUGGUGAGGGGUGUGGCCAGCCCUGCCAGCACAGGUGGAAGCAAUCUACCUGUGGGACCGGAUAGGGCUGAGCUUGGCUCCACCCCCUCCCUGCCCAUAUUUAAGGGCUGGGAACAGCAAGGGCAGCAUUCUGCUUGGGAGCUGCCUCCUUGGGAUCAUUGGAAGUAAGUUCUGCUCUUUGGAAUUGGGGUGAGUGAUUGAUGCUUUGUUGCAGGGCUCUGGUCUUUCUGUUUUUGGGAUCCUAACUGCUUUUAAAGGUAGAAAGCUGUAAGGGCAGCACCUCUGCACGGAGACUGCUUCCUUUGGGGUGUGGGCUGAGUGUUUGCUUUUGGAAUGGGGUCAUUGGUUUCUUCUUUAUUGCUGGAUUGUAAUUUUACUUUCUGGAGGGCUCCUGACCAUGUUUAAGGUCGGUCAGCAGAAAGAGCAGCAACUGCACCUGGAGACUGCUUCCUUUAGAGCGUAGGGUGAACCCUUGAAACAGGGGCUGUGUCCUUUCACUUUUGGUUUUUGGGGCAUCCUGACCACAUCUAAGUGCUGACAGAUGUAAGGGCAAUGUUGAUCUCUGGAGACUGUCUCCUGUGGAGCAUGAUAUCCUGACCACUUUUAAGGGGUGGAAGCCAUAAGGGUAGCAUCUGUACCUGGAGACUACUUCCUUGGCAGUGUGGGCUGAGUGUUCAUCUGUGGAAUGGGGAAGCCAAGGUUUGUCCUCUUCUGGACCGCUGUACUCAGCAUCAGCCCAGAUAUCUCCAUCCUAAUUGUCUGGAGAUGCUCUCUGGUUCCCAACAGCGUGAUGAAGUGAAGCCCCUGCUCUGCUGAAUACUGGGACUGGCCCAGAGAGGCUCUGUGACGGAUGUGGAUUAUCCCAGCUGGAGCACCUGGUACCAUUGGUGGUGAUCUUGUCCAACUGCCACACAACGAACAGGAACAUCCACAGCCAGAUCAGUGCCCAGAGCCUGACCCAGCCUCACCUUGGAAGGGACAGGGCAUCCAUCAUGUCUGGGUGUUGAAAGGCUGUUACCAGAUCACCUCGGAGCCUUCACUUCUGCAGGUUGAGCAGCUCCAGCUCUCUGUCUUUAUAGGAAAGGCGUUCCAUCCCUCAGUUCAUAUCUGUGGCCAUUCUCUGGAUGUGCUCCAACAGCUCCACGUCUGUCCUGCACUGCAGGCAUCCACAUCCACACACAGCACCUCCAGGUGAGGCCUCCCAGCGCAGAGCAGAGGGGCAGGACCGCCUCCCUUCGCCUGCUGACCACACAUCUUUGGAUGGAGCCCAGCAUACGGUUGGCUUUCUGGGCUGGAAGGCACAUUGCUGAGUGCCACUACUCAGCCUGUUGAGGUCCCUCUGGAUGGCAUCCCGUCCCUCUGGUGUGUCACCGCACCCCACAGCUUGGUGUCAUUAGGGUGCACUCCACCCUACUGUCAAUGUCACUGAUGAAGGGGCAGUCCUGGGUGUUUGUACAAACUCAGCAAAGAACACCUUGAGAGCAGCCCCACAGAGAAGGACUUUGGAUCCUGGUGGGUGAGAAGCUGGAUGUCAGCCAGCAGAGUGAGCUUGCAGCCUGGAAGGCCAGCUGUGUUCUGGGCUGCAUUAAAAGAGGAGCGGCCA
Centrocercus urophasianus (Greater sage-grouse) is the source of this 1617-nucleotide long non-coding RNA. RefSeq lists it as uncharacterized. The transcript is spliced from 6 exons. Lineage: Eukaryota; Metazoa; Chordata; Aves; Galliformes; Phasianidae. The record is from RefSeq and is a predicted model, not a curated record.